AUGAGUAACAACUCUGGUUGCGAGGUUUUUCCGACUCCGUUUAAAAUGUUAAGAUUCUUGUUUGGUAUAUACCUCAUACCUCAGACUUUCGGAUUUCUAAAUCUAAUAGGCGAUGAACUCAGUUUCAGCUCAGCUGCGCACUUACGACCUCUUGCGGGUUUCAGCGGCAAAUGUGGUGAUUUGAUCGGCUCCAGUGAUUUCCAGAACGUGCGGCGAGAAAAAACCUUCGUGGACAAGACACUAUGGCUGAAGGAUUUCUGGGACGACCCCGUUCGACAACAUUACAUCACAGCACCGCCUCGCUUUGGGAAGACCACGCUCCUGAGCAUGAUGCAACAUUUUUUUGACAAAAAUCAAGGAUGGCAUGACGACUCGCAAAAAUCUCAUUUUAACGGAACAAAAAUUUUAGAGCAAGAAUCAGACUUUUUUCACGCACAUUUUCGUGAACACGUAGUUCUCUUCCUCGAUUUCGGACUCCUGCGAGAGGCAAAUAAUUUAGCUUCAACCCAGAGAAUCCUGUGUGAGAUUUAUGGCAAGGCUAGGUACGAUACAGAUCCUGAUAACAGAGGAAAAACCGCAGAUGAGAAAAAAGACUCAAUAGCUAAAUUUACCGCUGAGUGUAAAGUUAACUACACGGAAUAUUUAGUGAAUCUACCAACCGACCUAAAACAGCUUAACUCAAAAGCGAACGGAACUCAAAUGAUCGUUCUCGUUGAUGAUGUAGACACCAUCAUUUCUUCUUUGCUAAAAGCAGAUGCUAGGAAGGAUGUAAUAGAUAUUAUUCUGAUGAUCGUGGGUGGGUUUCUCAAUAGGGUGAUAGGAAAUUACAAAUUUAUAGGAAUUAAAAAGUGUUUGCUUUUAGGCUCCAUGUACCUACCAGGAACUUUGACUCCGGAUAAUGAGGUUUGGCGACCUUUUUGCUCAAGCGAAAAGUUUUCAAAAUACUUAGGUUUGACGUAUCAAGAAGUGGAAGAUUUAUUGGUUAAGUUUAGCGAGCCACUCGACAGAAUGAGCGACCUUGAGGAGUUCUACGGUGGUUAUAAUGUUAAAAAUUCGACUUUGCAAAUUUUCAACACAGGUUCUGUAGUUUCUUACCUAGAGUCUCGUAGACUUGAUCACUACUGGCUGUCACACAUCGAUCCAUUACAGAACGAUUACGUGAGGAUAAUAUCUCGUCCGAGUAUGGGAUCUAUAAUCGAACAGCUUAUUAUUGGAGGUAGGGUUCACGCCCCUACAGGAGACCAAGAGGGUAAAGUUUAUUUUAAUACUUUGAAAAAGAUGAGGGAUUCCCCGUCCCUUAUUGAUGAAUCAUCAGAAAAAGUCGCGGAGAAAAGUUUCCUUUGGUACUUAGAGAACGCAGGUUACCUAGCCAGAAGCUACACCUCUGAAACGCUCCUGGUAGCCAAUAGGGAGGCAGCUUUUGCACUGGGACAAGCUCUAGUUCAGAACUCCAGUUAUUAUAUGAAUACUCAUAAUCUAUCAGAAGACAUUAGGAGGGAAUAUGUGGACGCCUUCAUGACUUUAACGGUAGAUGAUCCUGAAUUUUCAGUUUUCAAACUGGCGACCAAAAUUCAUAAAAUUUAUGCAAGCGCUGGUUCAAACACGGAGCCUGAUAAAAAGCUAAAUUUUGGAGGUUUGUUGUAUGCUUGGUUAAGAUAUUCGGGACACAAAAACUUGACACACAUUCUCGGUAGAGAAAUCGCCUACUUAAAGGAUGCGCCCAAGCAAUCCAAUAGUAUUUGGUCUCGUCGUGAUGUUUUCUGGGGCACACCUCUAACUUACGGUAUGCCCGAACUGGGUGUAGUUAGGAAUGAUAUGGUUGGGAUUUUGGCCAACUUUAAAAUGCAUAAUAUUUCUACAUUUGCUUUGAAGGAAUUGUAUGAGAAGCGAUAUACUAGAAAUUUUCCGAAAAAAUUAGAAGCGUACGGACUGAGUGGUAAAAUUUACAUGGGCAUAAAUAUCGAAAAAAAUUUCAGUGUAAUGAUCACUUAUUAUAGUUCGAGUCAUGAUGAAUUCGAUACUGUUGAAUAUCCUCUUCCGCAGUAA
This 2046-nucleotide long non-coding RNA is filed under the name Bemisia tabaci. Its description in RNAcentral is "lncRNA ENSSSA1UGG012899". Lineage: Eukaryota; Metazoa; Arthropoda; Insecta; Hemiptera; Aleyrodidae. The record is from RNAcentral.